CGUACAUGGAAUGUGGCUUGUCUAGGGCAACUGUAUUUGUAAAUAAAUGGCUUCCUGUUUAUUACGUUCGCUUUCCUGAGAACUCAGCCUCUGAGCACUUAUUAGAGCAAGUAUUCAACUUCUGGUUUAAUUUCCACUGUGUGGGGUGGGGUGUUUUUUGUUUUGUUUUGUGGUAUUCACUAUAAAGAAACCGGGUUAAAAUGAAUCAGUUGGGUCGGGGGGGUGGUUCCUGAUCCUGAAGCAUCCAGGCUGACCAGGAGAUAACAACCUUACAAGUCCUCACUUUGGCCUAAGUGUGAGGAAGGGGGCUGGAUCCUGGGACGCUGCUGGACUCCAAUCUGGGGAGUUUCACUUUUGCCCCCCGGAUCUUUCUACUGCUGACCGCAGCCUUCUCUAGCAGCUUCAGAGGGCAAGGCGGCUAUCCUCCUGGCGGGUGGCCUGGGCACCGACCUGCCGCCUGGCAUCCCCGCUAACCCUGCAGCCGCGCUCGCCCACCGCCCGCUCAGAGUCGCCGCGCAGGGCCAGGUUCCGCCGCUCCCGGGCGGGGACCGCAACGAGGCCGGGCACACGCAGCCGACCCCAGCGUCCGUGGGGCGCCCGAGUUCCCAACCCCGGGGAGGCGGCCGGGCCUGGCGCCCGAAACUCCAACCAGCGCCGGCCUCCGGCCGCCCUGCCCCCGCUCGCGUCUCCUCUGCCAGACUCGGCGCUCGGAACAAUGCAGCGCCCGGCGCCCCAGCGGGCCUCGCUGACCCCUAAGGCCCCCCGAUCCGGACCGCCGCCCCAUGCUGGACCUUCUUCCGAGCCGAGGAGAGAACAAGGCAGGUGCUAGGUGCUAUCCAACGUCGCCGUGUAGGACUUCUCGUGGUGGGAAGAACCUCAAGAGUGCAGUUUUGGUGAGCUAGUCAUCUUCACCCUUCUUUUAAAAGAAAAACAAAAACGGAACACCACCACAGUAUAAAGGAGAUCGCAUGAUCGCCCCCCCUUU
Molecule: long non-coding RNA, 985 nt
Filed under: Sus scrofa (pig)
Lineage: Eukaryota; Metazoa; Chordata; Mammalia; Artiodactyla; Suidae
Description: lncRNA (ENSSSCG00060046132.1)
Source: RNAcentral